This 468-nucleotide ribosomal RNA is filed under the name uncultured bacterium. RNAcentral describes it as "partial 16S ribosomal RNA". It matches the Rfam family "Bacterial small subunit ribosomal RNA", at positions 28 to 507 of the family's 1533-position model. The record is from RNAcentral.
GACGAACGCUGGCGGCGUGCUUAACACAUGCAAGUCGAACGGAAAGGCCCUGCUUUUGUUGGUUUCUCGAUUGGCGAACGGGUGAGUAACACGUGAGUAACCUCUCCUUGACUUUGUGAUAUCUUCAGGAAACUGGGGCUAAUACCGGAUAUGAGCUCCUGCUGCAUGGUGGUGGAUGGAAAGUUUCGGCGGUUGGGGAUGGACUCGCGGCUUCUCAGCCUGUUGGUGAGGUAGUGGAUUACCAAGGCUUUGACGGGUAGCCGGCCUGAGAGGGUGACCGGCGACAUUGGGACUGAGAGAGGGCCCAGACUCGUACGGGAGGCAGCAGUGGGGAGUAUUGCACAAUGGGCGGAAGCCUGAUGCAGCAACGCCGCGUGCGUGAUGACGGCCUUCGAGUUGUAAACCGCUUUCGCCUGUGACGAAGCGUGAGUGACGGUAAUGGGUAAAGAAGCACCGGCUAACUACGUG